UGCACAUGGUUUAGGUGCCCUCCUUCCUCCCUUUGGUAGGCGAGAGCCAGCACAGCACGCCCCAGGACUAGGGGUAGCCUGUGGCAGCAGUAGCCGGCCGAGGGUCAGGGUGGAGGCAGAGGUACGCUAGAGGAGCCGGCCGCGCCGAGCGACGGCAGCGCGAAGAGGAGCGCCGCGAGCGGCGCCGGCGCCCGCGGGGGCGGCGGCGCCGGUCGUCUCUGCCCAUGCCCGCGCGCUCCUCCGACGCGUACUCCCCGUUCCAGCAGCUCUACAAAAUAGUACGAAUACUGUUGAUGUACCGCAUACGUAAAGGAGUACUGCUUAACUUCGGAGAAUGAUUUCCGAAGUGACUGAGGGAGUCACUCGAACCGUUGGAUUUAGAACUCGUGAACGGUGUCCUAAUAUUACCUAGUCGUAACAGUGAUCAACUCAGUAAUAGUUCAGAACAACAGAAUCCAUUGGAUUGUCUUAAACUGUCUCCUCAAUCAACCGAAAGUCUCUUGGAUUGAAAACUACAACUACGAGCUCAAUUAGAAAAACUCACAUUGUAUUCUGAAGAACCCCCCGAAUAAAGACGAGUAUAAGAGCGUUUCCUGAUGUCGUCAGUCUUAUUUCUACCUCAUAUAGUCUUGGUUAACGAUGUAGAACGACUUUUAAAUCCGUCGGCCAAAGACGGUCGUAAACUCUGGGGAUGACCUAACGGCAUACGUACCUAGUUAGAAUUCAUACCUCACUACCUCUUACUCUGUUGACUUUGCUCGUGUAGUCCUACACCGAGGGAAUAAGACCUUUACCCACGUAACAGUGCAAACUGACCACUAGGAUAUAUACUUCGACGUCGAGAAGCACGAGAAGCGUUCAAUACCUCGUACUCUUCGAGUGACUUAGAACAUCCGAGUUGUGAUCUACAAAACAGACCGUUGACCUAACUUAUAAGCAGUCCGUAACCACGACCUCAACUAAGUAAAAUGCUCAUAAACUAAUUCCGUAUAUAGGAAAAACCUUCACUACUCAUGACCCUAUACAAAGUGAGACGAAUGGAUCGUCACGUCUUCAUAAAGGCUGUACCCGGUACCAUGGUACUCCGGCUAUAGUCCUGACCUCUUCGUUGUGUGACCGUUGAUUGAUCGGAGGUCCGGAAGACCGGACCACAAGUCUGUGAUGAUCCUCUACAACGACGACGUUUAGACAGUGUAGCACUUAAAAUGUUACAUACCGUUUCCAAGCCGCAGGAAGGACUUUCUAUAGACAAUCUGAUGCCUUAAAACGUAGGAUGUCUCUUCAUGAUAGGAAAUGCAGGUCUCAAACGACUCAGAUGUAAAAUAGAAAUAGUUCGUUGAUUUCUAGGAACCAUGGAUCUUCACCCACUUCGAUAUUAACCUAGUGAAUUAAUGAUGUGGUUUCACCUUCCUCCAAAACGAUCAUAGUCUCUACAAAGUUGUUACUUGGAACUUCUAGUAGUUGUGUCGAAGAAAGAAAGUCUUUGCACGUUUAUAGAAAAAGAGGAAAUGCUGCUAAGUAAGAACUCCUUGUUUUUAAUGUAGAAAUGUUGUCUCCCGGUAGGGGAAGGUCAUUACUCGUGCACCGUGCUCUUUUAAGGAGCUGACCUACAAGGGUGGUUAACCUGUCAAGAAUUCCUGCUGUUGGUUGGCUAAGCACACUCGCGUAACAGUAGGUUUCAGACAGGCCUCUGUUAAAGGCCCGUCUUGCAACCGAGGGGUACCCUCUCACGCACGGUGCAUGGUCUACACAAGGGAUCGGUGUCUACGUCCCGGCUGCUGCUGACACCCUAUCUCAGACAUUGUACGUUCUCCUCUUGGACGUCGUACCGACCGAUGACGCCGAACACCGACCGCCAAAUAAUCGGUUACAACAACCUCUUUAAUAUGAAAACGGUAAGCAAGUGUCUUACUAGUUCUAUUCCAUUUGUGGUAGUACUUUUAUCUUACGAUGGGCGGACGAAGCCGGACUGAAACAUGUAAUCUUAUCGUAGCUGUCGUCUAAGUACUGCAGACUUAACCGGUUUAAUUGGACGCACAGUUUAUGACCAAACUUGAAAGUACGACUACAUAGACGGUAGGUUAUAUACCCACAUGAAAUAACACGCUAUAUACAAUAAUGAUAGACUAGACUAAUAAAAUCGUGUACACACGUACGUUUUUUUUUCUUGUAUGAUUUCUGUAACACAUAAGACCAAUUAAACACACCUGAAUUGUUAUUUCAAGUCAGAAACCAAACAACACUCAAC
Molecule: ribosomal RNA, 2248 nt
Filed under: Triticum aestivum (bread wheat)
Lineage: Eukaryota; Viridiplantae; Streptophyta; Magnoliopsida; Poales; Poaceae
Description: partial small subunit ribosomal RNA
Source: RNAcentral